GUGAGGAAUUUUCCGCAAUGGGCGAAAGCCUGACGGAGCAAUGCCGCGUGAAGGAUGAAGGCCUAUGGGUUGUAAACUUCUUUUCUCAGAAAAGAAUUAUGACGGUAUCUGAGGAAUAAGCAUCGGCUAACUCUGUGCCAGCAGCCGCGGUAAGACAGAGGAUGCAAGCGUUAUCCGGAAUGAUUGGGCGUAAAGCGUCUGUAGGUUGUUUAAAAAGUAUUCUGUCAAAGAUUAGGGCUUAACCCUAGAUAGGCAGAAUAAACUUUUAAGCUAGAGUUUGGUAGAGGCAGAGGGAAUUCCCGGUGGAGCGGUGAAAUGCGUAGAUAUCGGGAGGAACACCAAAGGCGAAGGCACUCUGCUGGGCCAAUACUAACACUGAGAGACGAAAGCGAGGGGAGCAAAUGGGAUUAGAUACCCGAGUAGUCA
RNAcentral lists this ribosomal RNA (426 nucleotides) under uncultured bacterium. RNAcentral's name for it is "bacterial SSU rRNA". It matches the Rfam family "Bacterial small subunit ribosomal RNA", at positions 354 to 796 of the family's 1533-position model. The record is from RNAcentral.